AGCAGCCGCGGUAAUUCCAGCUCCAAUAGCGUAUAUUAAAGUUGUUGCAGUUAAAAAGCUCGUAGUUGAAUUUCGAGAUCAGUACGCCGGUCGUGCCUUCGGUAUGAACUGGUGUCACUGGUUUCUCCCUUCUGAAGAACCAUCAUGCCAUUCAGUUGGUGUGGCGGGGAAUCAGGACUGUUACUUUGAAAAAUUAGAGUGUUUAAAGCAGGCUCGCGCUUGAAUACAUUAGCAUGGAAUAAUGAAAUAGGACGUUUGACCCUAUUUUGUUGGUUUCUAGGAUCGACGUAAUGAUUAAUAGGGAUAGUUGGGGCAUUAGUAUUCAAUUGUCAGAGGUGAAAUUCUUGG
Molecule: ribosomal RNA, 348 nt
Filed under: uncultured Glomus
Lineage: Eukaryota; Fungi; Glomeromycota; Glomeromycetes; Glomerales; Glomeraceae
Description: SSU rRNA
Rfam family: Eukaryotic small subunit ribosomal RNA
Source: RNAcentral